Molecule: ribosomal RNA, 264 nt
Filed under: uncultured bacterium
Lineage: Bacteria
Description: partial 16S ribosomal RNA
Rfam family: Bacterial small subunit ribosomal RNA
Source: RNAcentral
UACAGAGGGUGCAAGCGUUGUUCGGAAUUACUGGGCGUAAAGCGUGCGUAGUCGGUAUUGAGAGUCGCGGGUGAAAUCCCAGGGCUUAACCCUGGAACUGCCUGCGAGACCUCAGUACUAGAGUGUGAGAGGGGAUAGUGGAAUACCCAGUGUAGCGGUGAAAUGCGUAGAGAUUGGGUGGAACACCGGUGGCGAAGGCGGCUAUCUGGCUCACAACUGACGAUCAGGCACGAAAGCGUGGGGAGCAAACAGGAUUAGAUACCC